UUAGGGGCUUGUUUGAGCUUUCUCCUCAGAUAUUGUCCAUUUUACAGGAGUCUGUCAAGUUUCAUGCAUUGUAUAAAAAGAUACAGUUUAUUGCCCUGAACUGUUCUGGGAAACUAAGUUCAUCAGAUAAGCUGCAGCAGUGUUGGAAACACCAAAACGCCAACAGUGUCUGGGAAAAUGAGAUAUAUGAGAUUAAACUAAACAAGAAACUUCUCUUUGUGUUGAUCUCUUGAUUUACUGAAUCAUUAUGUGAGAGCAAUGAAAAGACCCAAACAGAGAGCAGCCUACCACACAGUCAGAGUGUAUAAUUAAGGUUCUAUCUCUAAGUUUCUGAGGACUGGGGGAUGGACAGAAUUGUUUCUGUCUUUCUCUGCAGGGGAGCAAUGGAGAGAUGAAGGAGUGGACACUUGGAGAGUGUGAAGCUUUGCAUUUUCAGGUCCCUCAGAGCCAAAAUCAGCAUUCUGGCUCUCACACUGAGGCAGGGCAGUCAGCCAGAGUCUGGCAUGCAUGAAGGAGCGGGAGAGAGAAAGGGAGUUGGACAGAGACUUAUCUUGAAGAACAGCAGUUGAGCUGAGACGGACCCCUCCCCUCCCCAAACUGAUCCGCCGUCCACACCUCAAACCGACUCAGAGCUCAGGCUCAGUUCUCACACCUACACCAGGCUGCUGCAUCAGCACAGCUCUCUAUAUUUAGUCCAGAUUACAAGGCUCAGCUGCAAACCAACACACUCUACAUAGCUGGUGAAGCUCUACAGGAAGAGUAUCUGUGACUGUCUGCCAAUGAUUCAGAGUGAACCUCAGUAACCAGAGAGAUCUCGGUGCCAUAGUUCUGUGGUGAGGUAAAGGGUCAGAGGUCAGGUCCACAGCUCACCUUUAGGAGCUCACCUCCGCCAUGUGACCGCUCUCUGAUUACAUCAUAAUGCACAUGAGUCUGUGCAUGAGUCAUAUGCCACACACAGCCCAAAAUCCUAAAUAAAAACAGCGCUGGAACACGGGCUCUGCUGCACACAUGCCUGUGCCAUGCAGGGAAUAAGCACCUGAUGCAGGAGAAUGUAUCUGCUCCGUCUAGACACAUCAUCCUGAUGAGAGUUUGUGAACGUGAUUACGAUCUCUCGAUAAACACCACACACGCUCCGAUCCUGAAUCGUGCAUGCUCCGCGAUGCUCAUUCAUCCCUCUGGAAUCUGUCCAUCUCAGAGGAAGCUAGUUUCAGUUAAUCCCGCCUUAUCAUCGCUCUGUAUUUAGAUAAAACGCUCCCUCUUGUGACUCCAUAACUCAUGAAUGUGUCUUCAUUCUGGUAACAGACUCUAAACCAGUAAAAGGGUGACUAAUGCUCUCCUUCCAAAAAUGUUGAGUGACACUUUACAACAUGUGUCCAUUUCUGGCUUGGAGGGGCUUUGAGAGCUGCCUCCUUCAUGAGUCAUUUGAACACUGUAGCUAUGGAAUGGUGAUGUUUGUGUAUGUGUCAUAUUUCAACAUCCCAGCAGAUCUAUUAGUCUCACAUAAGUACUAUUAGAUAAAAGGAAAUUCAUUUCCUGUCAAAUCUAAUCACAUAAUCAACGUAUUAAGGCUCAGUUAUUAAGAAUGAGUUUGUGGAGGGGAUUUUAUAGUUUUGGAAGGCCAUUUCAGAUUCACAUUUGUUUUGUUGGAGUUCCUCUUGUAAGGUAACAGCUGCAAGAUAGACUAAAAUACAAAUAGAAUAAAAUGAAAAUAUAUAUUAUAUAUAUAUAUGAUAUAUUAAAGUGUUUUGGUAUGUGUGUCUCUAUCAGACUGCAUCCUGCUGGGGAUGGCUGCUAAGGGGUGGGGGUGUCUGGACUUUUUUAGGUGGGCGCUACAUGUCUAAGUAACAUCCACAUGAAUGAAUGCCAGGUCCAAAAGUUUGGUCGAAAUGUACAUCUGCACUUUUAUCAUCAUCAGCAUCAUAUACAGUGAAUGUACAUAUAAAUAUAUAUAUAAAUUAUUAGAGAACUUCCACAAAUAUUUUGGCGCUCAAAGUUUAUCUGGAGUCUCUCCAUUGGAAACUGGUUCUGCUGGUUUGCAAAUUGAUCCAGUGGUGCCAGGCUGAACCCUGUGGCGGGUUUGGUGUUGUGUUGUGUUGUGUUGUGUUGUGUUGUGUUGUGUUGUGUUAUGUUUGUAACAGAUCUGAAUGCCCAUGAGGUGUUGCUGCCAUGAAUAAAAGAAGCAGCAAUUCCAAAACUCACUAAAAAACAUUAAAUUCAAAUGUCUGUAAAGGUUCUCAGUCGUCCAGGUCAUGGUUGAUCCAAAAACAAUACUAAAACAAGGAGAACUAGACUUGUAGACAUGGACAUGUCCAGAUGUUCUUGUUUCAGCCUGACAAAAAACUACCUAUUAAUUGAAGGAAAUAAAGAGUGACAUCUAGCUUGUGUUAGUGUGUAUGAUUGUUCCCAUUGGCUCUACGCCACCUCAGUCCCACAGCUGUAACGUGCAUUUUUCCUGCUGUAAAUCCCAGUGAACUUGAGGCUUUUUAAAGCGACACAAUACAGCCCUAAUGGGUGACAAUAGAACCAAUGAGGAGACAAAGAUGGCACCUUAACCCUGAAAGAGAGAAACAGGAGAGAGGGAGGCAUGGAGGAGCGUGGGUGGGUGGCGCAGUGGAGGAAAAGUUCAGUUUUAUGACUGUGGGAAUCAACGUCUUCCCCCUCCUCCCUCCUCUUUGCCUUUUCAUCCAGCCUGCCUCUCAUCUGUGGUCCACGCCCCGUCUUGUAGGAUUAAUAGUCUCAUAAAUUUCUGAUUCUCCCUUUAGACGCCUAAAGAGUGAUUUAAGAGUGAUGCCAUCUGUGUGUGUGACCUUUUCAGAGUUAAUGCCCCAGUGUGAACUUGGGUGCAUGUGUGUGUUGGGAUGAAUGCAUGCCUGCACAUGAACGCCUGAUCAUGUGCAAGUGAGGGUGAAGGAUUCAGUGUGAAAUAUGAAUUAUGAAUCCACAAAUGUUAGUUGUAUUUAUGUGCAGGUGCAUAAAAACUAGGUUCAUAUUCAUAUUGCAGCAUACAACACCCAUUCUCAGAAGAGAGAGGCAUUCCCCAAAAGCUUAUCAGGAGAGAAGUGCCCAGCUGUGUCCUGGUAGUUAGAGAAGAAGGCCUGAGAUGGAAGCCCACAAAUGAUAGGAGAAAAAAAGAAAAGAGCAACAUCUACAGCUGAAGAGUCCCUGAGCUUUUAAGCCCUCAAACUUCUCCCCGGGCGCUGCACAUAGCUACUCACUAGUCUGAUGGAGCGUUCCCAGCAUUCGCCGUGGGUUUGAGUGUGAACUGAUGGGUUAAAUGCAGAGAGGAAAUUUCCAAUGUGUACGAACUUAUGGACAAUAAAGACUCUUCACUAGCAGCUAAAGUAACGAUCCCUCCACCAACAAUCAACAGACAUGUGUUAAAAGCUCUGAGAAUAGGUUCUUUUCUCUUUUUGUGAUGUCAGCCAAAAUAAAUAAAUACAAAAAGUACCUUGUUUUGGUUACUCUUGUUUAGUUUGGAUGCAUGAGAUGUGCUGUCCUUUGACCUUUUGGAACAAUUAAGUUUUGGCUUAUUUAGCUCGACCUCUUUUUGUGACGUAAGUCCUGUUAAGACUUCGUAUUAGGAUCCAUCCGUUAUCUGACCACUACUGUUCAUCUUUUAGUCCCUGUGUUCACACCUAGUAUU
Long non-coding RNA from Mugil cephalus (flathead mullet), 3643 nucleotides. RefSeq lists it as uncharacterized. The transcript has 3 exons. The record is from RefSeq and is a predicted model, not a curated record. NCBI's taxonomy places the organism in Eukaryota, Metazoa, Chordata, Actinopteri, Mugiliformes, Mugilidae.